UACGUAGGAGGCAAGCGUUGUCCGGAGUUACUGGGCGUAAAGCGCACGCAGGCGGUCUUGUCAGUCUGUAGGGACAGGGCACGGCUCAACCGUGUCAGGCUUAUGGAAACUGCAAGACUUGAGGGCUUCAGAGGGAUGGGGAAUUCCCGGUGGAGCGGUGAAAUGCGUAGAGAUCGGGAAGAACGCCAAGGGCGAAGGCAC
This 201-nucleotide ribosomal RNA is filed under the name uncultured bacterium. Its description in RNAcentral is "partial 16S ribosomal RNA". It matches the Rfam family "Bacterial small subunit ribosomal RNA", at positions 524 to 724 of the family's 1533-position model. The record is from RNAcentral.